This is a long non-coding RNA of Dendronephthya gigantea, 770 nucleotides long. RefSeq lists it as uncharacterized. The transcript has 3 exons. The record is from RefSeq and is a predicted model, not a curated record. NCBI's taxonomy places the organism in Eukaryota, Metazoa, Cnidaria, Anthozoa, Malacalcyonacea, Nephtheidae.
UCUAUAUCACAUACUUUACCGUGUCAUGAAAUUGUACGAAUAGCGACAUGCAGUAUUUUUUUACGUAUACGUGUCGUAGCUUUGGUGAAUCUUAAUAAGCUCGCCAGUGAGCAGUUAGAAUAUACCUGGGCCUGGAUGACUUAAAUAUUUGAUAUCCGUGAAGGAAAGAAUAUUUGCAUCAACUAACAGAUUACAGACACUUAAUUCUUAAAGUUGAUACUUGCGAAUUUCAAUCACUCUGGUUCAUUUGAACGACUAAAGAAGCAGAUAUAAGUCUUCCAGAAGGCCCGACGAAAUAUUUCAGAAUCGUAACACGCAUCUCAGACCAUAGGUGGCCUACAGGCUAAGCUUGGCAACGUUAUCACGAAUUGGCAACGAUCAAGGACAUUCUCAUGCAGACAGACGUUCUCACGGAAGUUUUCCAGGCGGUAUAGGGAUCCUUCAUACCAACGGGUUAAUGAACCUGUACCGAUAAGUUCAAGAGUCCAUGAUUCGUAUGAACUGCCUGCUUGAAGGCAGCAGAAAGACGGGCAGUGUUUACACUUCUAUAUAUGACAGUUUUUGUACCGAACGAUAGGGGUAUCACCUUUAGACUCAAUGUACCGAUAGCCAAUAUUACUUUCAUUUGGAACAAAAUGUGGGGCAUAUUUCAUUGAAGUUAUUUUUACAUUAUAUUAUUGCAAUCAACGCUUUCAAAAAACCCUUUUUUGUUAAGGCGAUUGUGUAAUAGCCCUUGAUAGUCGAUUAUGUCUUUGGAAAACGACGUACCA